Molecule: ribosomal RNA, 253 nt
Filed under: uncultured bacterium
Lineage: Bacteria
Description: partial 16S ribosomal RNA
Rfam family: Bacterial small subunit ribosomal RNA
Source: RNAcentral
UACGUAGGGUGCGAGCGUUAAUCGGAAUUACUGGGCGUAAAGCGUGCGCAGGCGGUUUUGUAAGCCAGAUGUGAAAUCCCCGGGCUUAACCUGGGAAUGGCAUUUGGGACUGCAAGGCUUGAGUGCGGCAGAGGAGACUGGAAUUCCCGGUGUAGCAGUGAAAUGCGUAGAUAUCGGGAGGAACACCAGUGGCGAAGGCGACUACCUGGCCUGUUCUUGACGCUGAGGCGCGAAAGCUAGGGGAGCAAACGGG